This 301-nucleotide ribosomal RNA is filed under the name uncultured bacterium. RNAcentral's name for it is "partial 16S ribosomal RNA". It matches the Rfam family "Bacterial small subunit ribosomal RNA", at positions 509 to 808 of the family's 1533-position model. The record is from RNAcentral.
CAGUAGCCGCGGGAAUACGUAGGUCCCGAGCGUUGUCCGGAUUUAUUGGGCGUAAAGCGAGCGCAGGCGGUUAGAUAAGUCUGAAGUUAAAGGCUGUGGCUUAACCAUAGUACGCUUUGGAAACUGUUUAACUUGAGUGCAAGAGGGGAGAGUGGAAUUCCAUGUGUAGCGGUGAAAUGCGUAGAUAUAUGGAGGAACACCGGUGGCGAAAGCGGCUCUCUGGCUUGUAACUGACGCUGAGGCUCGAAAGCGUGGGGAGCAAACAGGAUUAGAUACCCGUGUAGUCCCUGUCUCUUAUACA